RNAcentral lists this ribosomal RNA (477 nucleotides) under uncultured anaerobic ammonium-oxidizing bacterium. RNAcentral describes it as "bacterial SSU rRNA". It matches the Rfam family "Bacterial small subunit ribosomal RNA", at positions 365 to 832 of the family's 1533-position model. The record is from RNAcentral.
UUCGCAAUGCCCGAAAGGGUGACGAAGCGACGCCGCGUGCGGGAAGAAGGCCUUCGGGUUGUAAACCGCUGUCGGGAGUUAGGAAAUGCAAGGAUGUUAAUAGCGUCUUUGCUUGACUAAGGCUCCGGAGGAAGCCACGGCUAACUCUGUGCCAGCAGCCGCGGUAAUACAGAGGCGGCAAGCGUUGUUCGGAAUUAUUGGGCGUAAAGAGCACGUAGGCGGCUAUGUAAGUCGGUUGUGAAAGCCUUCCGCUCAACGGAAGAACAGCAUCCGAUACUACAUGGCUUGAGUGUGGGAGGGGAGAGUGGAACUUCUGGUGGAGCGGUGAAAUGCGUAGAUAUCAGAAGGAACGCCGGCGGCGAAAGCGACUCUCUGGCCCGUAACUGACGCUGAGUGUGCGAAAGCUAGGGGAGCAAACGGGAUUAGACACCCCGGUAGUCCUAGCCGUAAACGAUGGGCACUAAGUAGAGGGGUUUU